AUGGAUCUAAUCGGCGGUGCGCAAAGGCGAUCAAUGGAGGAUGGCAACAUCAACCGGACAGGAGGGACAAAGGCAAGGGCGGCACUCCUUACCCCACGCUCAGCAAGUGUGCAAAUGGAUGAGGCGCUCAUGAGGCUCGAGAUCUUCGAAGAGAAGGCAACCUUGUUGGUGAUCAACGACCUGGAAGAGGAAGACGAUCUUCAUCGUUUUACGCCUGGCCUAGGACAACCCAAGGGGCUCGAUUGCUCGGUUGCUAGAAAAAAACACAUGUUUGCUGAAGAGUUCGAAACCAAGCGGGUCGUGAUCAUGUUUGGGAGAGCUUGCCAUGGCAUAUUAGCAAGAACACUGUGA
Molecule: ribosomal RNA, 351 nt
Filed under: Triticum aestivum (bread wheat)
Lineage: Eukaryota; Viridiplantae; Streptophyta; Magnoliopsida; Poales; Poaceae
Description: partial small subunit ribosomal RNA
Source: RNAcentral